Mustela erminea (ermine) is the source of this 1227-nucleotide long non-coding RNA. RefSeq lists it as uncharacterized. Lineage: Eukaryota; Metazoa; Chordata; Mammalia; Carnivora; Mustelidae. The record is from RefSeq and is a predicted model, not a curated record. The transcript is spliced from 4 exons.
CACUUCCCUGAGAUCCCCAGCACAGCCGACCCUUGGUUACCAUGGUGGUAACUUGUUUUGACCCUGAAUUGGCUUCCCUCUCUUCCCUGUCUCGCUUCUCCACUCCCUACUGAUGCCUCCUGGAAUCGCCUCUCAGAUAAACUACCUGCACCCAAAUCCUUGUUGCAAGGUCAGCUUCUGGGGAAAUCCAACCGAGAGAAAUAUACUGUUGCCGAAAAAAAAAAAAAAAUCAGUCUGCCUUGGACAGCUGGAGAUCCUAUCAUGUUAAAACGGCUCCCUCCCUUCCACCUGGAUUGCUCACACUUACCAAAGGCCGUUGGAGACAUCUUAGCCAAGAAACCCAUAACUGUCGGGGAACUGUGGGCUGGAUUGACCUUUUCCCACAGGGAGAGGCCAACUCUCCCCGGCGGUGUGUGACACUUGGGAGUGUGCCGCUCAUAAACUCAGCCACAGGCAUGCGAGUGCGCGUGCGUGAUGAGAGCCACGCCCAUUCUUCCCGGAGAGCCACGCCCAUUCUUCCCGGAGCCUGCGCUCCUUCUACUUCACCAGACAUCGAGCUGCCAAGCUUUACAGCUCCCAACACCUAGAUACCUGUAUUUUUCCAAAGCCUUGGUUUGGGAGUCAUUUCCUGAUGCUUUACAGCUCCUUUGGACUGAGUAUGCUUCCGACGUCAGGGAGCAAGAUGGCAUUGAUCCUUCUGUCUUCUGUUCCCGCUUAAGACCUAAAAUGGGAGAUUUCGCUCUGUAAAAAUUCAUCUAUUGAUAUUUAAGAAAAUGCUUACCAGGCGCCUCGAAUGGAACAGUUCUGUACAAGGUAGACCUACCAUGGUGAACAAAGGAAACAGUCCCCACCGUCUUUGUUCUGGAAGCUCAGUAAAGGAGCAUGGAAGGCAUGAAAGGAAGUCCAUCACAGAUGUUCCUAGGUGGGCUGCUUUCCUGGGAGUACUCCUCCCACCUAGGUUAGACCCAGGAACCUUCCACUGUUGGCUCCAUCUUCCCCUGGAGCCCCAGGGGACCAUCUGUCCCCACCAGCUGACCGGAAAAGACUGGGAGCAAGGGAAGGACCUCACCAGUUACUCGAGGGGCCAUACCUGGGAGCCAAGUGGGCCACCUCCCCCACAUUGUACUGACCAGAACUAGUUCCACGACCCUUCAUCAGUGCAAAGGAGCAAGCACAAAGCUCUUUUUGGGACUUCGGAAGACAAUAAAAGGCUGGUCAGCACUGGAA